This 558-nucleotide ribosomal RNA is filed under the name Bifidobacterium breve. RNAcentral's name for it is "bacterial SSU rRNA". It matches the Rfam family "Bacterial small subunit ribosomal RNA", at positions 146 to 711 of the family's 1533-position model. The record is from RNAcentral. Lineage: Bacteria; Bacillati; Actinomycetota; Actinomycetes; Bifidobacteriales; Bifidobacteriaceae.
UCUCCUGGGAAACGGGUGGUAAUGCCGGAUGCUCCAUCACACUGCAUGGUGUGUUGGGAAAGCCUUUGCGGCAUGGGAUGGGGUCGCGUCCUAUCAGCUUGAUGGCGGGGUAACGGCCCACCAUGGCUUCGACGGGUAGCCGGCCUGAGAGGGCGACCGGCCACAUUGGGACUGAGAUACGGCCCAGACUCCUACGGGAGGCAGCAGUGGGGAAUAUUGCACAAUGGGCGCAAGCCUGAUGCAGCGACGCCGCGUGAGGGAUGGAGGCCUUCGGGUUGUAAACCUCUUUUGUUAGGGAGCAAGGCAUUUUGUGUUGAGUGUACCUUUCGAAUAAGCACCGGCUAACUACGUGCCAGCAGCCGCGGUAAUACGUAGGGUGCAAGCGUUAUCCGGAAUUAUUGGGCGUAAAGGGCUCGUAGGCGGUUCGUCGCGUCCGGUGUGAAAGUCCAUCGCUUAACGGUGGAUCCGCGCCGGGUACGGGCGGGCUUGAGUGCGGUAGGGGAGACUGGAAUUCCCGGUGUAACGGUGGAAUGUGUAGAUAUCGGGAAAGAAACACCA